GGAGAGAUGGCUGAGUGGUUGAUAGCUCCGGUCUUGAAAAUCGGUAUAGUUCUUUGAGGCGAACUAUCGAG
This 71-nucleotide transfer RNA is filed under the name Hypericum perforatum. RNAcentral's name for it is "partial tRNA-Ser". Lineage: Eukaryota; Viridiplantae; Streptophyta; Magnoliopsida; Malpighiales; Hypericaceae. RNAcentral also lists the same sequence under 1 other name. The record is from RNAcentral.